UAUGUCCGUAAGGAUGAACCUGCGGAAGGAUCAUUAUCGAAUAAAUUUAGAGUUGGUUGUAGCUGGUUCUUACUUUUGAGCAUUCGUGCACACCUUCUCUUAUUUUUUCAUCCACACACCCCCUGUGCACUUGUGAGACGGGACGGGGCUUCAAAACCCCCUGCCCGUCUAUUGUCACAUACAAACUCAUUUAAAUUAAACUGAAUGUAAUUGAUGUAACGCAUCAUUUAAACUAAGUUUCAACAACGGAUCUCUUGGCUCUCGCAUCGAUGAAGAACGCAGCGAAAUGCGAUAAGUAAUGUGAAUUGCAGAAUUCAGUGAAUCAUCGAAUCUUUGAACGCACCUUGCGCUCCUUGGUAUUCCUCGGAGCAUGCCUGUUUGAGUAUCAUGAAACUCUCAAAGAAAAUCUUUUGUUAAUUCAAUUGGUUUGCUUUGGACUUGGAGGUUUUUUUUGCAGAUUAAUUUCUGCUCCUCUUAAAUGUAUUAGCUGGAUCUCAGUAUAUGCUCGGUUCCACUCGGCGUGAUAAGUAUCACUCGCUGAGGACACUGUUAAAAAGGUGGCCGGGAAAUACAGAUGAACCGCUUCGAACAGUCCAUUCACUUGGGACNAAAAUAAGUUUUAAAGAUCUGAUCUCCAAUUCAGGGUAGGACUACCCGCCUGAACCUUAAGCAUAUCAAUAGGCGAAGAAAAAA
RNAcentral lists this ribosomal RNA (693 nucleotides) under uncultured fungus. Its description in RNAcentral is "eukaryotic LSU rRNA". The stretch from base 235 to 388 matches the Rfam family "5.8S ribosomal RNA". Lineage: Eukaryota; Fungi. The record is from RNAcentral.